This 661-nucleotide ribosomal RNA is filed under the name Enterobacter cloacae. RNAcentral's name for it is "bacterial SSU rRNA". It matches the Rfam family "Bacterial small subunit ribosomal RNA", at positions 38 to 693 of the family's 1533-position model. The record is from RNAcentral. Lineage: Bacteria; Pseudomonadati; Pseudomonadota; Gammaproteobacteria; Enterobacterales; Enterobacteriaceae.
AGGGGACGGCUACCAUGCAAGUCGAACGGUAGCACAGAGAGCUUGCUCUCGGGUGACGAGUGGCGGACGGGUGAGUAAUGUCUGGGAAACUGCCUGAUGGAGGGGGAUAACUACUGGAAACGGUAGCUAAUACCGCAUAACGUCGCAAGACCAAAGAGGGGGACCUUCGGGCCUCUUGCCAUCAGAUGUGCCCAGAUGGGAUUAGCUAGUAGGUGGGGUAACGGCUCACCUAGGCGACGAUCCCUAGCUGGUCUGAGAGGAUGACCAGCCACACUGGAACUGAGACACGGUCCAGACUCCUACGGGAGGCAGCAGUGGGGAAUAUUGCACAAUGGGCGCAAGCCUGAUGCAGCCAUGCCGCGUGUAUGAAGAAGGCCUUCGGGUUGUAAAGUACUUUCAGCGGGGAGGAAGGUGUUGUGGUUAAUAACCGCAGCAAUUGACGUUACCCGCAGAAGAAGCACCGGCUAACUCCGUGCCAGCAGCCGCGGUAAUACGGAGGGUGCAAGCGUUAAUCGGAAUUACUGGGCGUAAAGCGCACGCAGGCGGUCUGUCAAGUCGGAUGUGAAAUCCCCGGUCUCAACCUGGGAACUGCAUUCGAAACUGGUAGGUUAUAGUCUUGUAUAGGUUGGUAUAAUUCCAGGUGUAGCGAGGCCAUGCGUAG